Molecule: ribosomal RNA, 246 nt
Filed under: uncultured bacterium
Lineage: Bacteria
Description: partial 16S ribosomal RNA
Rfam family: Bacterial small subunit ribosomal RNA
Source: RNAcentral
GGGGCAAGCGUUGUCCGGAAUCAUUGGGCGUAAAGAGCGUGUAGGCGGUUCGGUAAGUCCGCUGUAAAAGUCCAGGGCUCAACCCUGGAAAGCCGGUGGAAACUGUCGAGCUAGAGUCCGGAAGAGGCGAGUGGAAUUCCUGGUGUAGCGGUGAAAUGCGCAGAUAUCAGGAGGAACACCAAUGGCGAAGGCAGCUCGCUGGGACGGUACUGACGCUGAGACGCGAAAGCGUGGGGAGCAAACAGG